UAUUAAAUAUAAGAUUAGUAAAAAAAGGAUAAAAGAUUAGUAAAAAAAGGAUAAAAGAUUAGUAAAAAAAGGAUAAAAGAUUAGUAAAAAAAGUACAGAAAUGGAAUAAUAAAAAUAAAAAAAAGAAUAAAUUAUACCUUUUGUAUAAGGGUUUAUUGAAAAAAUAAAAAUAUUUUAAUUUCUCGAAUUUUGUGGAGUUUUUUAGUAUUAAUUUUUAUUGUAGAAAUAUUAAAGAGAAGUAUUAAAAAGAAAUGAAAAUUUUAUCAACAUAAUAAUAUCUAGUUAUAAAAAAAAAAAUUAUAUAUUAUUUAUAUAUUGUAUAUCAAUUACAUGAUAAUAUAUAAUUAUAUAUAAAGGGAUAAGCUUUUAUAUAUAAUUAUAAAAAAAUAAAAAUUUUAAAAAAGGCUUUUUAUUAGCUAAAAUUUUAAUAAAUUAUUAUAUUAAUUUUUUUAAUUUUUUAAUUUUUUUUUUAUUUUUAUAAAUAAAUUUAAAAAAAAAUUAUGAUAAAAUUAGUAUAAUGAUUAAAAUUUUUUUUAUGAAUUCGGCAAAAGAAAAUUUCAACUGUUUAACAAAAACAUUGUUUUUAGAAAAUUAUUAAAAAUAAUACUGCUCAAUGAUAUAUUAAAUUGCUGUUUUUCACAAAGGUAUUGAAAUAAGGCUUUAAAUGGGUGCUAAGAGAAUGGGAUAAUGAGGUUUAGCUUUAUAAAAAAAAAAAAUAAAAUUUUAUUUUAUAUUGAAAAAGAUGUAAUAAAUAAGUGGGACAAGAAGACCCUAUAAAUUUUUAUAUUUUUUUAUAAUAUUUACAUUAUAAAAAAAUAUUUGGUUGGGGCGACAGAAAAAGAAAAAGUAUCUUUAUUUUGAUCCGAUAUAAAUUUUGAUUAAAGGAAUAAAAUACUUUAGGGAUAACAGCGUUAUUAUUUUGGAUAGUUCAUAUAGAUAAAAUAGUUUGCGACCUCGAUGUUGAAUUAACGGACCUAAAAGAUGUAGGAGUUUUUUAAGGUAGAUUGCUCAUCUAUUAAAUCGUUACAUGAUUUGAGUUCAGACCGGCGUAAGUCAGGUUGGUUUCUAUCUACUGAAGAUUAAUAUUUUUUUUAGUACGAAAGGAAUAAGAAAAGUUAAAAUUUAAUA
This 1128-nucleotide ribosomal RNA is filed under the name Macrocheles nataliae. RNAcentral's name for it is "16S ribosomal RNA". The stretch from base 755 to 1074 matches the Rfam family "Archaeal large subunit ribosomal RNA", at positions 2151 to 2715 of the family's 2987-position model. The record is from RNAcentral. Lineage: Eukaryota; Metazoa; Arthropoda; Arachnida; Mesostigmata; Macrochelidae.